This 76-nucleotide small nucleolar RNA is filed under the name Plasmodium malariae. RNAcentral's name for it is "small nucleolar RNA snoR17". It matches the Rfam family "small nucleolar RNA snoR17". Lineage: Eukaryota; Apicomplexa; Aconoidasida; Haemosporida; Plasmodiidae. The record is from Rfam by way of RNAcentral.
UUUUUUAUGAUGAAAAAAGAAAUACUGACAAAAUAAUUUGAUGAGUUUUUGCUAUUUCACCAAGAUCACUGAAAAA